This 85-nucleotide transfer RNA is filed under the name Felis catus (domestic cat). It matches the Rfam family "tRNA". Rfam says of the family: Transfer RNA (tRNA) molecules are approximately 80 nucleotides in length. Lineage: Eukaryota; Metazoa; Chordata; Mammalia; Carnivora; Felidae. The record is from Rfam by way of RNAcentral. RNAcentral also lists the same sequence under 4 other names.
GCCUGGGUGGCUCAGUCGGUUGAGCGUCCGACUUCAGCUCAGGUCAUGAUCUCGCGGUCCGUGGGUUCGAGCCCCGCGUCGGGCU